Molecule: ribosomal RNA, 431 nt
Filed under: uncultured bacterium
Lineage: Bacteria
Description: partial 16S ribosomal RNA
Rfam family: Bacterial small subunit ribosomal RNA
Source: RNAcentral
AGCGAACGCUGGCGGCAGGCUUAACACAUGCAAGUCGAGCGCCCCGCAAGGGGAGCGGCAGACGGGAGAGUAACACGUGGGAACAUACCUUUUGGUUCGGAACAACUGAGGGACACUUCAGCUAAUACCGGAUAAGCCCUUACGGGGAAAGAUUUAUCGCCUAAAGAUUGGCCCGCGUCUGAUUAGCUAGUUGGUGAGGUAACGGCUCACCAAGGCGACGAUCAGUAGCUGGUCUGAGAGGAUGAUCAGCCUCACUGGGACUGAGACACGGCCCAGACUCCUACGGGAGGCAGCAGUGGGGAAUAUUGGACAAUGGGGGCAACCCUGAUCCAGCCAUGCCGCGUGAGUGAUGAAGGCCUUAGGGUUGUAAAGCUCUUUUGCCCGGGAAGAUAAUGACGGUACCGGGAGAAUAAGCCCCGGCUAACUUCGUG